CUCUUAUCCUGAGCUGGCGGAGGGACAGGCCCAAUGAAGCCCGGCAACCUGCUUGAUUAUAGGCGGCAGUCAUAACAGAGACUGACCAGCACUUAUAUCAUUAUAAGAUUAUUUUCAAGACAAAGGUGCUAACCUGCAGCAAGGGCAAAACCUUGAGCGAUAAGAG
This 166-nucleotide non-coding RNA is filed under the name Bacillus sp. (in: firmicutes). RNAcentral's name for it is "Bacillus sp. SAM-I sequence". It matches the Rfam family "SAM riboswitch aptamer (S box leader)". Rfam says of the family: The SAM riboswitch is found upstream of a number of genes which code for proteins involved in methionine or cysteine biosynthesis in Gram-positive bacteria. The record is from RNAcentral. RNAcentral also lists the same sequence under 1 other name. Lineage: Bacteria; Bacillati; Bacillota; Bacilli; Caryophanales; Bacillaceae.